RNAcentral lists this ribosomal RNA (884 nucleotides) under uncultured soil bacterium. RNAcentral describes it as "SSU rRNA". It matches the Rfam family "Bacterial small subunit ribosomal RNA", at positions 9 to 873 of the family's 1533-position model. The record is from RNAcentral.
UAGAGUUUGAUCCUGGCUCAGAACGAACGUUGGCGGCGUGGAUUAGGCAUGCAAGUCGAACGCGAACCAGUGGUGUAGCAAUACAUCGCUGGGGAGAGUGGCGAAAGGGGCAGUAAUGCGUGGGUAACCUACCUCGGGGAUGGGCAUAGCCGUUCUAACGGACGGGUAAUUCCCAGCGAUUUGGUUGAGGGGCAUCCCUUGACCAGGAAAUGAAUUUCGCCUCGAGAGGGGCUCACGUCGUAUUAGCUAGUUGGUGAGGUUACGGCUCACCAAGGCAAAGAUGCGUAGCGGGUGUGAGAGCACGACCCGCGCCACUGGCACUGAGACACUGGCCAGACACCUACGGGUGGCUGCAGUCGAGGAUCUUCGGCAAUGGGCGCAAGCCUGACCGAGCGACGCCGCGUGUGCGAAGAAGGCCUUCGGGUUGUAAAGCACUGUCGAGGGGGAGGAAGCCGAAAGGUUGACCUAUCCCUGGAGGAAGCACGGGCUAAGUUCGUGCCAGCAGCCGCGGUAAGACGAACCGUGCGAACGUUGUUCGGAAUCACUGGGCUUAAAGGGCGCGUAGGCGGGUCAGCAAGUCCGGGGUGAAAUCUUUCGGCUCAACCGGAAAAGUGCCUUGUAUACUGCUGGUCUUGAGGGAGGUAGGGGUAUGUGGAACUUCUGGUGGAGCGGUGAAAUGCGUUGAUAUCAGAAAGAACGCCGGUGGCGAAAGCGACGUACUGGGACCUCUUCUGACGCUGAGGCGCGAAGCUAGGGGAGCAACGGGAUUAGAUACCCCGGUAGUCUAGCCCUAACGAUGGGUUACUACACAGUAGUCUUAUCAUGGGAUUACUCCUCGAAGCAAAGUGAUAAGGUACUCCCGCCUGGGCGAAUUAUUGGUCCGC